GCUAGCCAAAAGGUUUUGAAAGUUGGAUCAUCUUAUCCAUCGAGGCUGUAAAAGUGUUCUUACACUAUAAUUUUGUAAGAAAGCAUCAGGGAAACCUAGGCAGGCACAUAGAAUUAGGAAUUAGAAUACAAGGACUAUUGAGAGUAAAUAUUAGUUCAUCAGGAGAGCUGUAGCUCCCCCCACCGGUGAUGUGGAGCAGAGCAUGCUGGGCGAUCUCUAACUGAGGAGAAGGAAGUAACUACAAAAAGUACACAAGCCGUGAUAAGUUCCAGCCAUCUCCUGUGAUUACAUUAAGUUAGCAUUCUUUGUUUUAGCCAAGGCCAGUGUGCGUCCUUAAGAAAUAACCACACACUCUUGUUUAACACGAUUGUCAAGCCAUACGUUGUUCUGUGCCGUUACUGCUCUAUGUGAAUCAUCGUCAUUAAACAACCUCAACUGGAAUCCUACCGGUCUGUCAUCUGUGCCCUUACAAGCACCUGGAAGAGAUAUGGGAGAGAUAUAGUGCUAAGUUAAACCUAAACCUAUAGAAUAUACAGUCCACCAAGUCUUCAACUACAUUGUGGUCCAUUCGAGAUGGAUCUUCAGAGCUUUUUCCCGGAGCAAAAUGCAAGACCACUAUGCUAGAUGGAUGUCAUAGCCUACAAUAUGUGUCUCACCUUUUCAUAGGCAUCGAUUAGAUGGUUGCAUUCAAGACAAGGUCAUUUUUGCCCUAAGACUUGUGUAAAGUUGAUAGAAUAUUUUUCAAAAGGGUUCACAGCUGUAAUGGCUGCCAAAGGUGCUUCCACCAAGUAUUCUGGGGUAUGAAGACAUAGCCUACACAAUCAAGACAUCUUAGUUUUUAUUUGUUCAUUAAUUAGGAACACGUUCUAUAAUUUGUCCUUCACUUUGGAAAUGUGGAGUAGGUUGUUUGCAUCGGUAGCAAAAAAAAUGUAAGAAAUGUCUAAUUUUAAGGCAGCAAAAUGUGAAGACUGCGCAAGGGUUGUGGAGACUUUCACUAGGCACGGUGACUAUGGUUUCAUACGUUUGUUUAGUUGAUUUAUAAGCAUUUUUUGAAUGGCGAGAUAAAUAUUUUUCAAUAAAUAGGAAUCAGUGAAAUGUGCCUGAAAAACCAAGAUAUGAUGUUGUCCAACAUAUUUGGGUUCUGUGAAUAAAACGGGUUGAGAGCAA
This is a non-coding RNA of Salmo salar (Atlantic salmon), 1167 nucleotides long. Lineage: Eukaryota; Metazoa; Chordata; Actinopteri; Salmoniformes; Salmonidae. The record is from RefSeq and is a predicted model, not a curated record.